RNAcentral lists this ribosomal RNA (256 nucleotides) under Lactococcus lactis. Its description in RNAcentral is "partial 16S ribosomal RNA". It matches the Rfam family "Bacterial small subunit ribosomal RNA", at positions 1286 to 1533 of the family's 1533-position model. The record is from RNAcentral. Lineage: Bacteria; Bacillati; Bacillota; Bacilli; Lactobacillales; Streptococcaceae.
UCUCAGUUCGGAUUGUAGGCUGCAACUCGCCUACAUGAAGUCGGAAUCGCUAGUAAUCGCGGAUCAGCACGCCGCGGUGAAUACGUUCCCGGGCCUUGUACACACCGCCCGUCACACCACGGGAGUUGGGAGUACCCGAAGUAGGUUGCCUAACCGCAAGGAGGGCGCUUCCUAAGGUAAGACCGAUGACUGGGGUGAAGUCGUAACAAGGUAGCCGUAUCGGAAGGUGCGGCUGGAUCACCUCCUUUUUAAGGAA